CAGCUGCUCUUGAUGAAAACGGCAGUGGCUCUGAAAAGAGCCUUUAGAUCGACCACUUAAAAAUAUACCUUAGGCCCGCUCCCCGCGGAUGCGGCUGACCAACUGGAUGUCCUUGGGCAUGAUGGUCACGCGCUUGGCAUGGAUGGCGCACAGAUAAGAAAACUGAGUCUCAGAGAAAUUAUGGCUUGUCCUGGCUUUUCCCAGGCAAGUAAAUGCAGGCCACAGUCUGCCAGCUGCCCAACCAUUCAGGCUUUUCAUUAUUAUAGGAAGCAUCUGGCCAAGGACCACCAACAUCUUCCUGUCCUGCCCCUGAAGCUGUGCCUAGAGGAGGUCUCUCAUAGAUGCCCACGUUCUCUUGACAAGAUAUUUGGGGAGGACCCCUGGCUACUGUCACUGCUGCCAUGCCUGCCAGGAGGAGGCACCUUCCUGACACUUCACUGCUGCUGCUCAGCAGGCCUGCCAAGUGGUUCUGCUGUGUUCUAGGAGAAACAGGA
RNAcentral lists this long non-coding RNA (494 nucleotides) under Homo sapiens (human). RNAcentral's name for it is "novel transcript". Lineage: Eukaryota; Metazoa; Chordata; Mammalia; Primates; Hominidae. The record is from RNAcentral.